This 508-nucleotide ribosomal RNA is filed under the name uncultured bacterium. RNAcentral describes it as "partial 16S ribosomal RNA". It matches the Rfam family "Bacterial small subunit ribosomal RNA", at positions 30 to 523 of the family's 1533-position model. The record is from RNAcentral.
AUUGAACGCUGGCGGCAUGCCUUACACAUGCAAGUCGAACGGCAGCGGGGGAGAAGCUUGCUUUUCCUGCCGGCGAGUGGCGAACGGGUGAGUAAUACAUCGGAACGUGCCCUGUAGUGGGGGAUAACUAGUCGAAAGAUUAGCUAAUACCGCAUACGACCUGAGGGUGAAAGGGGGGGACCGCAAGGCCUCAUGCUAUAGGAGCGGCCGAUGUCUGAUUAGCUAGUUGGUGGGGUAAAGGCCUACCAAGGCGACGAUCAGUAGCUGGUCUGAGAGGACGAUCAGCCACACUGGGACUGAGACACGGCCCAGACUCCUACGGGAGGCAGCAGUGGGGAAUUUUGGACAAUGGGCGAAAGCCUGAUCCAGCAAUGCCGCGUGUGUGAAGAAGGCCUUCGGGUUGUAAAGCACUUUUGUCCGGAAAGAAAUGGCUCUGGUUAAUACCUGGGGUCGAUGACGGUACCGGAAGAAUAAGGACCGGCUAACUACGUGCCAGCAGCCGCCGUAA